AGUGAACGCUGGCGGUAGGCCUAACACAUGCAAGUCGAACGGCAGCACAGUAAGAGCUUGCUCUUACGGGUGGCGAGUGGCGGACGGGUGAGGAAUACAUCGGAAUCUACUUUUUCGUGGGGGAUAACGUAGGGAAACUUACGCCAAUACCGCAUACGACCUACGGGUGAAAGCAGGGGAUCUUCGGACCUUGCGCGAUUGAAUGAGCCGAUGUCGGAUUAGCUGGUUGGCGGGGUAAAGGCCCACCAAGGCGACGAUCCGUAGCUGGUCUGAGAGGAUGUGCAGCCACACUGGAACUAAGACACGGUCCAGACUCCGACGGGGGGCAGCAGGGGGGAAUAUUGGACAAUGGGCGCAGGCCUGAUCCAGCCAUGCCGGGGGGGUGAAGAAGGCCUUCGGGUUGUAAACCCCUUUUGUUGGGAAAGAAAAGCAGCAGGUUAAUACCCCGCUGUUCUGACGGUACCCAAAGAAGAGGCACCGGCAAACUUCGUG
This 492-nucleotide ribosomal RNA is filed under the name uncultured bacterium. Its description in RNAcentral is "partial 16S ribosomal RNA". It matches the Rfam family "Bacterial small subunit ribosomal RNA", at positions 29 to 507 of the family's 1533-position model. The record is from RNAcentral.